This 799-nucleotide ribosomal RNA is filed under the name uncultured bacterium. RNAcentral describes it as "bacterial SSU rRNA". It matches the Rfam family "Bacterial small subunit ribosomal RNA", at positions 8 to 796 of the family's 1533-position model. The record is from RNAcentral.
AGAGUUUGAUCAUGGCUCAGAUUGAACGCUGGCGGCAGGCCUAACACAUGCAAGUCGAGCGGUAGCACAGGAGAGCUUGCUCUCUGGGUGACGAGCGGCGGACGGGUGAGUAAUGUCUGGGAAACUGCCUGAUGGAGGGGGAUAACUACUGGAAACGGUAGCUAAUACCGCAUAACGUCUUCGGACCAAAGUGGGGGACCUUCGGGCCUCACGCCAUCAGAUGUGCCCAGAUGGGAUUAGCUAGUAGGUGGGGUAAUGGCUCACCUAGGCGACGAUCCCUAGCUGGUCUGAGAGGAUGACCAGCCACACUGGAACUGAGACACGGUCCAGACUCCUACGGGAGGCAGCAGUGGGGAAUAUUGCACAAUGGGCGCAAGCCUGAUGCAGCCAUGCCGCGUGUGUGAAGAAGGCCUUCGGGUUGUAAAGCACUUUCAGCGAGGAGGAAGGGCAGUGUGUUAAUAGCACAUUGCAUUGACGUUACUCGCAGAAGAAGCACCGGCUAACUCCGUGCCAGCAGCCGCGGUAAUACGGAGGGUGCAAGCGUUAAUCGGAAUUACUGGGCGUAAAGCGCACGCAGGCGGUUUGUUAAGUCAGAUGUGAAAUCCCCGCGCUUAACGUGGGAACUGCAUUUGAAACUGGCAAGCUAGAGUCUUGUAGAGGGGGGUAGAAUUCCAGGUGUAGCGGUGAAAUGCGUAGAGAUCUGGAGGAAUACCGGUGGCGAAGGCGGCCCCCUGGACAAAGACUGACGCUCAGGUGCGAAAGCGUGGGGAGCAAACAGGAUUAGAUACCCCGGUAGUCC